CUUCUGUGAUGAUUCGAUGACGAGACGGAGUAGGAACUUCUCUGGUUCUGAAGGUGACCGGUUCAUGAUCACGUUCUGUGGUUUUGCUCCAGUUCUUCAGAUUCAGGGUUCCUUUUAACGUGAAGACACAGAGGCAUUUGUCUGAGAAGG
Molecule: small nucleolar RNA, 150 nt
Filed under: Cyprinodon variegatus (sheepshead minnow)
Lineage: Eukaryota; Metazoa; Chordata; Actinopteri; Cyprinodontiformes; Cyprinodontidae
Source: RNAcentral